This 735-nucleotide ribosomal RNA is filed under the name uncultured Fusobacterium sp. RNAcentral's name for it is "bacterial SSU rRNA". It matches the Rfam family "Bacterial small subunit ribosomal RNA", at positions 28 to 776 of the family's 1533-position model. Lineage: Bacteria; Fusobacteriati; Fusobacteriota; Fusobacteriia; Fusobacteriales; Fusobacteriaceae. The record is from RNAcentral.
GAUGAACGCUGACAGAAUGCUUAACACAUGCAAGUCUACUUGAAUUUGGGUUUUUAACUUAGGUUUGGGUGGCGGACGGGUGAGUAACGCGUAAAGAACUUGCCUCACAGCUAGGGACAACAUUUAGAAAUGAAUGCUAAUACCUAAUAUUAUGAUAAUAGGGCAUCCUAUAAUUAUGAAAGCUAUAAGCGCUGUGAGAGAGCUUUGCGUCCCAUUAGCUAGUUGGAGAGGUAACGGCUCACCAAGGCGAUGAUGGGUAGCCGGCCUGAGAGGGUGAUCGGCCACAAGGGGACUGAGACACGGCCCUUACUCCUACGGGAGGCAGCAGUGGGGAAUAUUGGACAAUGGACCGGGAGUCUGAUCCAGCAAUUCUGUGUGCACGAUGAAGUUUUUCGGAAUGUAAAGUGCUUUCAGUUGGGAAGAAAGAAAUGACGGUACCAACAGAAGAAGUGACGGCUAAAUACGUGCCAGCAGCCGCGGUAAUACGUAUGUCACGAGCGUUAUCCGGAUUUAUUGGGCGUAAAGCGCGUCUAGGUGGUUAUAUAAGUCUGAUGUGAAAAUGCAGGGCUCAACUCUGUAUUGCGUUGGAAACUGUAUAACUAGAGUACUGGAGAGGUAAGCGGAACUACAAGUGUAGAGGUGAAAUUCGUAGAUAUUUGUAGGAAUGCCGAUGGGGAAGCCAGCUUACUGGACAGAUACUGACGCUGAAGCGCGAAAGCGUGGGUAGCAAACAGG